UACGGGAGGCAGCAGUGGAGAAUUUUGGACAAUGGGGGAAACCCUGAUCCAGCAAUGCCGCGUGUGCGAAGAAGGCCUUCGGGUUGUAAAGCACUUUUGUCAGGGAAGAAAUCCUUUGGGCUAAUACCCUAGGGGGAUGACGGUACCUGAAGAAUAAGCACCGGCUAACUACGUGCCAGCAGUCGCGGUAAU
Molecule: ribosomal RNA, 192 nt
Filed under: uncultured Limnobacter sp.
Lineage: Bacteria; Pseudomonadati; Pseudomonadota; Betaproteobacteria; Burkholderiales; Burkholderiaceae
Description: partial 16S ribosomal RNA
Rfam family: Bacterial small subunit ribosomal RNA
Source: RNAcentral